UCCCAUAUUGUCUAGUGGUUAGGAUACCUGGUUCUCACCCAGGAGGCCCGGGUUCAAUUCCCGGUAUGGGAA
Daphnia pulex (common water flea) is the source of this 72-nucleotide non-coding RNA. Lineage: Eukaryota; Metazoa; Arthropoda; Branchiopoda; Diplostraca; Daphniidae. The record is from Rfam.